RNAcentral lists this ribosomal RNA (251 nucleotides) under uncultured bacterium. RNAcentral's name for it is "partial 16S ribosomal RNA". It matches the Rfam family "Bacterial small subunit ribosomal RNA", at positions 524 to 774 of the family's 1533-position model. The record is from RNAcentral.
GACAUGGGAUGCAAGCGUUACUCGGAAUUACUGGGCGUAAAGCGUCUGCAGGUGUUUUGCCACGUCUGGCGUCAAAGCACGGAGCCCAACUCCGUGUACGUGCUGGAAACGAGCAGAAUCGAGUUAUGGAGAGGCAACUGGAAUGCUGUGAGUAGGGGUAAAAUCCGUAGAUCCACAGUGGAACGCCAAAAGCGAAGGCAGGUUGCUGGCCAUAUACUGACACUCAGAGACGAAAGCGUGGGGAGCAAAGG